This is an RNA transcript of Folsomia candida, 604 nucleotides long. RefSeq lists it as uncharacterized. The transcript has 4 exons. The record is from RefSeq and is a predicted model, not a curated record. Lineage: Eukaryota; Metazoa; Arthropoda; Collembola; Entomobryomorpha; Isotomidae.
AUCAUCAUCAUCAUUUGAGGUUGUUUAUUAUUUAGCUUAUCGAUAAGGAAGAUAAUUAAACAUGGCAAUCACUGACGGAGGCGUACUUCCAUACGAGGUGAAAAAUAAGAUCAUAUCCAUCUUGAAAGCCGAAGCGCCGGAGGGCAUCCUCGUUAUAACAUUGGGGCAAAAGUAUGAAGAAGAAUACGGCAGCCAACUCAUCCCGGAGGAGUUUGGAUUUAAAACGCUUUUCGAAAUGGUCAAAUCCAUAAACUCGGGGGUUGGCGUCUUCUUCCAUGAAACGCUCCACCUCUGGGCGUGCAAGUAUGAAGAACCAGAACCAGUCUUGUCCGGAGGUUAGGGUCAGGACCAGGCUGUUUCACCUAUAUAUGAGAUAACUUUGACUUGAGGAAAGGGCCGGAUCAUCUAAAAAGAAACUACGUACGGUCGCCUCUGUAACAGUGGUGAAACAGGAUCAGGAAGCACUGUUUUUUAGUGGUGUUGGAGUGAAUAUUCUUUGGGAGGUGUCAUAAAAAUCAAUUUUUAUUCGAAAAUAUUUAAAGGUUUGUAUAAUUGUUUUUUUUAUUUAUUAAAGUUGCGAAUUAAUAAACGAAUUGCGGAGAGA